Molecule: long non-coding RNA, 1945 nt
Organism: Ictalurus punctatus (channel catfish)
Lineage: Eukaryota; Metazoa; Chordata; Actinopteri; Siluriformes; Ictaluridae
Source: Ensembl
AUAUAUACACACACGAGCGAACUACAUGGCAAAAACAUGUGACCUAUAUCAUGAUAUUUAAAUGUGCUUUAAAAAAAGUGCAAUCUGAAUUUUAAAAGUAUAUUUCUAUGCAACAGUGAAAAAAAUUAACAAACAGUCCACAUGCGUAAGGAAAUUUUUGAAAUCGUAUGUUUUUAUUUUUUAUUCAAACGUUUUCUGUCCACGUGAAAUCCUCAAGUCACCGAAUUCACGGCUUUUUGAAAACAGGCACUUCUGGCGUCGUUCUGAUGCGGCCAUGUUGUUUUUCAGUGUUUCGACCUUCUCUACGCAGCUCUUUACGUUACUCUAGAGGUGGCUUUUUUUUUUUUAUGUGCAUUCGUUACGUCACAUAUAUUGCCACCUGCUGCUCAUGUUUUUGCGGUUUAUCAUGAAGGUGUUGAAGUGGACAGGAAUGUUUUUUUUUUGUUUGUUUGUUUUUAAGCGGGGAGUAAAAAAAACAAACUGCGUAUUCAAACCCGUAUACAUGUGCAUUUUAACGUCCAAUCAGCUCCGUGUUAGCUGAGUUAGUCAAUUUAGAGUUGCAAAGGUUUCCGUUAAAUGAAUGUAUGAUUUUAGAAUUCAUCACGAUAUCCGAAACACGCAUACAAGACCUCACAAACGCUCUUAUAGCUGACCGAAUGAAAACAAAUCCCCACAGAUACACCCCAAAAUUAAUUGGAAAUCCUUCCCAGAAGAGUGGAGCACAUCAUAACUGCAAAUCUGGAACGGGAAGUUGAACAAGCACAUACGGGUCUGAUGGUCAGGUGUGCACAAACUUCUGGUCUGUAAAAACCGUUUAUAGCACUGUCGAAAACUGUAUAUUUCAAACAAGCAUCCAUUUUUAUCGCCUUUUAUUACGUUUGAUUCUUCGGUUGUAUAAAGUGUGAAAAGGGAACAAAAUGAGCACUUUGGGGAUUCGGUUUAUUGUCUGUUAUUUAAACCAAUCUAACCCUUGGUUUGAGUACAAGCACGCACAAAAAAUGCUGCUGUUGAAGUAAACAGAUUUCAGACGUAAACGUGCGUCAAGUUCAUUGUAUUCGGCGUAAAAAUGGAACGGGAUUGGGGUGGCACGUUUUAAAGCCGGAUUUAGGAACGAUGUCGUAGUUUCCGGGGUUACAGUACUACGAUUCCUCCUUUUUUCUAGAUUAUCCACUUGUGCCGAGUUAGCAUUAUGCUAACAUUCAUUGCUCUCUCAUCUGACGAACUGAAUUAUGUAGAAGAAGAUCAAACAUUUCUUAACGCCAGUGCAAAAACCCAUCUACGCAGUUUCAUCUUCAGGCAAAGACGUGGAUUGUGUGAAAUACGUAAGGAACAACGCACUCAGGGUUAAAACAUACUGUUAUAGGAAAAUAAUCAAUAACAGGGAUCAUUUUCUAUAACUGCAUGGCAGAUUUGAGCUAUAUUAUGUUACAGAUAAAUAAUUAUAGCGUCACACAUGACCUGGAUGAUCAAUAGUUCUGGAAAGUUUUAUUUUGAAAAAUAUCCUUUUUGGUGUUACUUUAAUAGAAGCUGAUGGUUUGACAUUUUUUCACGUCGUGUCCUAAUCUGCCGUUUCUUUAUGCCAGGAAGAAAACUCCUCUGCUGAAACGUUUGCAGGUCAAACACAACUAGCCUAGCACAGUGGGUUAAAUGGAAAAGGCGGAAAAUUCCAGACAUUUCAUAUGAACUGCUGUGAACAGAGAACUUGGCAUUUCACCUACAGAUAUUUCUUUUCUGUUCAUAAAAUCAUGGCUUAAUGUACUUUAUCACGAUUUUCAUGUCAGUAGAAUUUUAAUUUAGUAGCAAAUGCUAUUAAACACUCAAGGUUUUUCUGAAGUAUUUGUUCUAAUGUAAAGUUGUUUUUUUUUCUAAAUAAAUGAACAGUUAAAUAAAACUGUUUUGUACUUGCUUUAAUCUUUAAAUUCAUACCUCAGGACCGUCAUACCCC